Long non-coding RNA from Arabidopsis thaliana (thale cress), 349 nucleotides. RefSeq annotates it as other RNA. The transcript has a single exon. Lineage: Eukaryota; Viridiplantae; Streptophyta; Magnoliopsida; Brassicales; Brassicaceae. The record is from RefSeq.
AGGAAUGCCGUUGACUCGGUUAUAAGCACACAUGAUGCCACUGGCUCGACCUUCUUCUAUGCAUUUCUUGAACGGUGGUUGGUACGUCUCCGCCAAGUCAGCCAAACUCACCUUUUAUUUUAUUUAUUGGACGACAAACAUAAUUAAUAGAUAAUGAUGGUCUACGUAAAUAUUAAUAUUCAUUAGAAGACAUCAAGAUUAGCACAUUUAUUCAUGAUAAGACGUAAAGAGUGCAAUCAAGGAACAAUUUAUAGAAUAUAAAAACAGCAUUAUGUAAAAGUUUCUACUUUGAGGUCCUAAAGACAACACUUUAGCAGAAAAAGCAAACACAAAAAUGGAAAAAGAUGAG